AGACGUUCAGUUCGUUUCCCCUACAAAGGAAGAGGAGACCGGAGACGGGACGUUUGCUUUGUUGGCCGAACUCUUCGGCUGCUGGGGAUUUCCUUCAAACGCCAUUAACUUCUCACACUCAGCAGCCACUCGGGAGUUGGGAAACAAUCUCCUGGGGUUUGUGCUGGCGUGAUUAAGGAAAGAGGCCACUUACAGGCCUUUGUCUAAAGCCUCGCGCCGGUGGUGGCUGGGGUCAGGAAAGCUGGGAGGUUCAACUACGGGCGAGAAAAUUGGGGCACUUUCCACGUCUCUCCCGAAAAUAAAAGAAAGGAUGCCGGGCACGGCGGCUCACGCCUGUAAUCCCAGCACUUUGGGAGGCCGAGGCGGGCGGAUCACCUGAGGUCAGGAAUUCGACACCAGCCUGGGCAACACGGUAAAACCUCGUCUCUACUAAAAAUACAAAAAAUUAGCCGGGCGUGGUCGCGGGCGCCUGUAGUCCCAACUACUCGGGAGGCUGAGGCAGGAGAAUAGCUUGAACCCGGGAGGAGGAGGUUGUAGUGAGCCGAGAUCGUGCCACUACACUCCAGCCUGGGCGACAGAGUGAGACUCUGGCUCAAUAAAUAAAUAAAUAAAUAAGUAAAAUAGUUGAUGUUAU
Molecule: long non-coding RNA, 634 nt
Filed under: Homo sapiens (human)
Lineage: Eukaryota; Metazoa; Chordata; Mammalia; Primates; Hominidae
Description: non-protein coding lnc-MRPS22-7:1
Source: RNAcentral